Molecule: long non-coding RNA, 865 nt
Organism: Harmonia axyridis
Lineage: Eukaryota; Metazoa; Arthropoda; Insecta; Coleoptera; Coccinellidae
Exons: 2
Source: RefSeq, a predicted model, not a curated record
CGGAUAGUUGCUUUCCAAAAAAUUCAAAAGAUAUCCAGUAAAUGUGUUUGAAGCUCCAUCUUACCAACGGAUAGAAAACUAUGCCCAAAAGAUUCAUAACGGAUCAAUAUCGCACUGCCGAACGGUACAGCGUCCUUUUCACUUUUGGAUAAAUCAGCGCCAUCGUACGGAGGAAAGAAGAAUCAUAACGAAGAACAGAUCAGGAUGAAAAAGGACGAGAAUAUUGUACGAUAUUUGUUAGAUGGCGUUCUCAAAACAAGCAUACGGAAUACCGCUCAUGUCAAUAAUCAAUAUAUUGUAACGUGUUACGCCACUGCAGAUAUUUUCCGGGCGAAUCAAAGUAAUUUCGAAAUAAUGCAGGCGCGACGCAUACAUGUGUCGAAGGCUUCUUCAGAUAAUUUGAAGAUAAUUCAUUCUGAUUUAGAGGUUCGUUGUAAACAAUUGGUUUUUGCCUGAAAUUAAUAAAUUAAUGGUUUUGUGUUUAACCCUUAAUAUACAAGGGUUUUUGGUUUGGAGAGAAAACUCAAUUUUUGGUUUGGAGUGAAGACUCAAUUUUUGGUUUGGAGAGAAAAAACUCAAUUUUUGGUUUGGAGAGAAAUCUCAAUUUAUGGUUUGGAGAAAAAUCUCAAUUUUUGGUUUGAAGAGAAGUUCCAUUUUCUUGGUUUGGAAAGAAGUUCCAUUCAGGUUGGAUUUGAAGAAGGAAAUGCCAGUUUUUCUUUGAAGAGAGAAUUAGCAGUACUGAAGAUAGUGAUCCCGAUUCAGUUGAAAUACUGAAGAUAAGUUCAGAAAGUUUUUCUUUGUAAAUUUGGACACUGUUUGUAAAUUAGAAAUUUUAUUUUGAUUUGAAAUAGAUGGUUGGUUGGAA